Carassius auratus (goldfish) is the source of this 1306-nucleotide RNA transcript. It is a transcript of the gene named structural maintenance of chromosomes protein 5-like, with no coding region annotated. NCBI's taxonomy places the organism in Eukaryota, Metazoa, Chordata, Actinopteri, Cypriniformes, Cyprinidae. The record is from RefSeq and is a predicted model, not a curated record. The transcript has 2 exons.
AUAACCAACUGCAGAACCGCAGAACCAUUACGUCAUAACAGUCUGAGGACGACAGCGCCAGACCGACUGUUUGAGAGCGGAAGUGGGCGGGGUAGCAGCCCGAUGCCGGAAGUUCAUGUUUAGACGUGUUUGUUUAGACUAGACAGUAAAAGGUUUUUAGAAGGUAAAAGAUAAACAUUAAAAGGUUUUUAGACAGUAAAAGAUAGACAAUAAAAGGUUUAACUAUGGCGGAGCACACUGUAGAACAAGGAAAAGAAGAAGAGAAAGAAGUAAAAAGAAGUUAUAUAUUUGAUAGAUGCAACAUACUUAACAUUAUAACGUUACGCUUAUACAAGACAGCUCUGUACUGAUAUAUACAUAUUUUUUUAAAGGAAUAAUUUUGUAAGUUAGGCUAAUAUUUAGCAAUAUCACAGUAUCACUUUGUUGGGUUACAUAUUCAUGGUUUGUGAUUUAAUUUGUUGUUGCGUUGUAUUUUACAGCAUUUGUUAAAUUUUCUGACCAUGAGAAUUGCAUAAUUUCAAAACAUUACUUUACAUGCAUCCUGAUUAAACCACAAUGUAUUGUUGAGGACACUUCCAAUCUCCCCAGGGACAACAGAUGGAAAUGAGCUAGCAGCCAAAUGAACCACAGAUGGUCAAAGACCUCAGGACCGCAGUUGGAUGGCUGCGGGACAACUGCCACUCCUUCAGAGGUUCUGUGCAAGAGCCGUCAUAUCUGGACCUAAAGAAGGAAGACCAGGAAGAGGCCCUUCUUAAACUUGAUCGGGCGGAAAGAAAAGAUGAUCUGGAACUGGCCAAAAAGCCUUUCAUGUUUCAGUUCCAGUUUCAACAGGACAUGGAAGUUUUUCUUUUCGAAUGUCACGACGAAAGGCACCUCAGAAUAAACUCCAUGUUUAUGGAGUUUUAAUUUGUUAUUUAUUUUUCUCUUGAGAAUUAUUGAUGUAAAAUUUGUGCCUGUAUAACUUUUAUAAGAUUUAUUUUCUUUGGUUUAAUUUGUUUUAUAUAAUUUAUUUAUCUAGUUUGAUUUUGUAAUUUUAUUUAAUUAGAAAACAGCUAGUGUGUGAUUUUAUUUAAAACUCAUUUUAUUUAAAUUAAUGUUUUUUUUUUUUUUUUCAGUCCAUUAUAUUAUUGUGUAUGGUGGUCUAUGUUGUUUGAGUAUUUAAAGUUAUUUUCAACUGAAUAAAAUGUUCAAACUCUCAAGCUCUGUUUUCAUUGGAUUAUUUAUUUUUAAUUUUAUGCUUUGUCUAAUGUAUAAUAUUGUUAAUCAGUCUUAAAUAUACAUUUUCAAAUAAAUCGUUUAAAACAAA